This 443-nucleotide ribosomal RNA is filed under the name Streptomyces sp. HVXM-17-5. Its description in RNAcentral is "bacterial SSU rRNA". It matches the Rfam family "Bacterial small subunit ribosomal RNA", at positions 57 to 515 of the family's 1533-position model. Lineage: Bacteria; Bacillati; Actinomycetota; Actinomycetes; Kitasatosporales; Streptomycetaceae. The record is from RNAcentral.
GCAAGUCGAACGAUGAACCACCUCGGUGUGGAUUAGUGGCGAACGGGUGAGUAACACGUGGGCAAUCUGCCCUUCACUCCGGGACAAGCCCUGGAAACGGGGUCUAAUACCGGAUACCACUCCCGCAGGCAUCUGCGGGGGUCGAAAGCUCCGGCGGUGCAGGAUGAGCCCGCGGCCUAUCAGCUGGUUGGUGAGGUAACGGCUCACCAAGGCGACGACGGGUAGCCGGCCUGAGAGGGCGACCGGCCACACUGGGACUGAGACACGGCCCAGACUCCUACGGGAGGCAGCAGUGGGGAAUAUUGCACAAUGGGCGCAAGCCUGAUGCAGCGACGCCGCGUGAGGGAUGACGGCCUUCGGGUUGUAAACCUCUUUCAGCAGGGAAGAAGCCGCGAGGUGACGGUACCUGCAGAAGAAGCGCCGGCUAACUACGUGCCAGCACG